RNAcentral lists this unclassified non-coding RNA (403 nucleotides) under Hevea brasiliensis (rubber tree). Lineage: Eukaryota; Viridiplantae; Streptophyta; Magnoliopsida; Malpighiales; Euphorbiaceae. The record is from RNAcentral.
ACCCAUUAUAGGGAAAAAAAUUAAAAAAUAAAUAAAUAAAAUCCAGGCGUGGACUUGCUUUUACACAGUUUAUCACUUCGCUCUUUGAUUUCUGUCUUCAAGAACAGUCACUGUGGUUUAAGAUGCUGUGAUUGUGAAGUGGAUUUUUGAGUUCUGUUUCAUUUUGUCGUUUGGUAAGAUCUUCGAUUUUAGGGCACAAAAUGUGGAAUGUUGCGCGAUUUGCGGCUUCCAGUUUGCGCCGACCACGGAGUUUCUCGACGGCGAUACCUGGUCCAUGUAUUGUUCACAAGCGUGGAGCUGAUAUUCUCCAUGAUCCUUGGUUCAAUAAGGAUACUGGGUUUCCUUUGACUGAGCGAGAUCGACUAGGGCUACGUGGCCUCCUUCCACCUCGUGUUAUAUCAUU